RNAcentral lists this ribosomal RNA (497 nucleotides) under uncultured bacterium. Its description in RNAcentral is "partial 16S ribosomal RNA". It matches the Rfam family "Bacterial small subunit ribosomal RNA", at positions 28 to 507 of the family's 1533-position model. The record is from RNAcentral.
GAUGAACGCUGGCGGCGUGCCUAAUACAUGCAAGUCGAGCGAACGGACGAGAAGCUUGCUUCUCUGAUGUUAGCGGCGGACGGGUGAGUAACACGUGGAUAACCUACCUAUAAGACUGGGAUAACUUCGGGAAACCGGAGCUAAUACCGGAUAAUAUUUUGAACCGCAUGGUUCAAAAGUGAAAGACGGUCCUGCUGUCACUUAUAGAUGGAUCCGCGCUGCAUUAGCUAGUUGGUAAGGUAACGGCUUACCAAGGCAAUGAUGCAUAGCCGACCUGAGAGGGUGAUCGGCCACACUGGAACUGAGACACGGUCCAGACUCCUACGGGAGGCAGCAGUAGGGAAUCUUCCGCAAUGGGCGAAAGCCUGACGGAGCAACGCCGCGUGAGUGAUGAAGGUCUUCGGAUCGUAAAACUCUGUUAUUAGGGAAGAACAUAUGUGUAAGUAACUGUGCACAUCUUGACGGUACCUAAUCAGAAAGCCACGGCUAACUACGUG